GUAUUUUGAUUACAAGGUAUUGAAUAAGGUUUUAAUUGAAUGCUAAAAGAAUGGAAUAUCAAAGAAUAACUUUCUUAAAAUUAAAAAUUGAAAUUUUUUUAAUUUGUGUAAAAACAAUUAUAUAAAUUAAAGACAAGAAGACCCUAAGAAUUUUUAAAAUUUAAAUUAACACAUUUUUGUUUUAAUUAAAUUUUAACUGGGGCGGUUAAAAAAUAUUAAAAACUUUUUAAUUUUGAAAAUGACCCAUUAUUAAUGAAAAUAUGAUAAAAUACUCUAGGGAUAACAGCGUUAUAUUUUUUGAUAGAUCAUAUUGACAAAAAAGUUUGCGACCUCGAUGUUGGAUUAGGAUACUUUUUUAAUGAAGAUAUUAAAAUAAGAAGUUUGUUCAACUUUUAAAUUCCUACAUGAUCUGGUUUUAGACCGA
Molecule: ribosomal RNA, 424 nt
Filed under: Rhipicephalus microplus (southern cattle tick)
Lineage: Eukaryota; Metazoa; Arthropoda; Arachnida; Ixodida; Ixodidae
Description: partial 16S ribosomal RNA
Rfam family: Bacterial large subunit ribosomal RNA (bases 279-424)
Source: RNAcentral